GCCUGCUGUUUAGUUGGUGCCGUUUACCGAGAUCCCACUGAAUGCCAACCAGGUGACAGAAAUAUUCUGCAAGCAGUAACGGGGUGGACGGCCACUCUCAGUCUGCAGCAAUACCCAAUGUUUUGGGGCCCUCGAGAGGAUCCGAUGUCAUGGUGGGGUUGGGAACUGGGGCAAGGAUUGUCGGUGUUUCGGGUCGAAUCUCUGCAGAAGGACUGCUGCACGUUGUGAGUGGCUUCAGACUCCAGCAUCCGUGGUCUCCUGUGUGUCGGCGUCCACUCUGGUUCGGGUAACUUUCAUGUCCGAACGGAGGAAUCGUCAGCUUGUACCGUUGAAGGGUCCCGCACCUCCACAUUGUCCCAGCAAAGCUGAGCAUCUCCAGUGCUUUCCAUUUCAUUGAAGCGGAUGAGGAAGAGGACAGUGACCGGAGGCGAUGGACGGGGGUGAACACUUGUUCCACGGUGACAGCGACAGACAGAGGCAGGCGGCGCGGGCCAGGCCGGUUACCAUGGAGCCGGGGGCUUGUCUGUGUUCGGCAGAAGGACAUGGCGGAUUUCGACAGUUACAAUGAUCGGCAGCAGUUUGGCUGCGGCGGGGUCCGGGGAUUCUGCAAGCCUUUGACAAACUUCAAUAGAUGUGUAGUGGAGAGUAUGCUGACUGGUUGCGUCACGGCCUGGUAUGGAAAGGCCUGCAGACCAGACCAUCACAGGGGAAGCCAAGGAGCACUGUCACACGAAAGCGGCAUCCAUCAUUAAGGACCCCCACCACCCGGGCCCUGUUCUUCUCGCUGCUGUCAUCAGAAAGGAGGUACAGGACCCUCAGCUCCCACACCACCAGGUUCAGGAGCAGUUAUUAUCCAUCCGGCUCUUCAACCAGCAUGGACAAUUCCACUCACCCCUACACUGAACUGAUUUCACAACCUAUGGACUCACUUUCAAGAACUCUGCAAAUCAUGUUCCCAAUAUUAUUUAUUAUUAUUGUAUUUGCACAGUUUGUUGUCUUGUGCACAUCGGUUGUUGUCUGCCUUUGUUUAGUGCAAUUUUCAUGGAUUCUAUUGUGUUUCUUUGUAUCUACUGUGAAUGCCCGCAAGAAAAUGUACGUACUUUGGUAAAUGAAUAGUUGAAGGUGCCUGAGUAUAAACUUGAAUAUAUACUGCUGAAUAUGAAUGGCAAUCAGCAGUGAUAAAUUAGAACUGACUUCUUAAGACCAUAGUUAUACUUAAAUUAAUAAAGAACAGAAUUAAGUUUUAUGGACAACUACUUCAGAAUUGAAUGCUUCUGUCCGUGAGGAAGCUGUUUCAUUGUGUUGUGCGUCAGUUGACAUUUCAGUUCCCUUCGAACUUGAGUAGGAUAUUUAUGUCACCAUAGUGAUCUGCAUUGAUCAAUUUUUUUUCUUUUAGUGGAUAGUGGUGGGAGGGGAGAGAUUGGCAAGUAGUAAAUAGAAAAAGAAACCUUUAAGAAUAUAAAAUAGUAUAGCACAGGAUGGGAUUUCAACAAUGUUAUGCCAACCUACUCCACAGUCAGUCUAACACUUCCCUCCUACACAGCCCAUAACUCUCCGUUAUGUUCCAUCUAUGUGCCUAUCUGCGUGACUCUUAAAUGACCUUGUUGAAUCAGCAUCUAUCACCACCCCAGCAGUGCAUUCUAAGCCCCUACCACUGUGUAAAAGAGAAAAAGAAAUCUUAUCUCUACUUACCUUAAAUGGGUGUCCUUUGGUAUUGGUCACUGAGAGUGGAAAUAUGUGCACUCUCCAUAUGCCUCUCAUAAUCUUAUACACCUCUAUCAAGUUGCCUCACAUCUUCCUUUGCUCCAAAGAGAAAAGCCCUAGUUUACUCAACCUUUCCUUAGAGGAUGUCUUCUAGGUGUACAAAAGAUGAAAUGAUUUGGUAAAUCAGUUUAUCAUUGUCAUAUGUAUCGAGAUACAGUAUACAAUACAAUACUUUUGUAUUGCAUGCCACCCAGGCAUCAUUUCAUCUUAUCAGUUCAUUCUGGUAGUACAAAGGAAAACAAUAACAGAAUGCAGAAUAAGAGUUGCAGUUACAGAGAGUGCAAUGCAGGUAGACAAUAAGAUGCAAAGCCAUAAUGAGGUAGAGUAUAAGAGUCUUUUGUGCAAUAGGACUAUUCAGUGAUCUUAUAACAAGGGGAUAGAGGUUUUUCUUUCAGCUUGAGGUGUAUGUAUACUUUCAGGCUGUAUUUUCUGCCUGAUUUGGGGGGUGGGGGGUGCAGGGUGUUGACUGUUCACCAAGGCAAAAGGUUUCCAUGAUGAGCUGAGCCGUGUCCAUAAUACUUUUCAGAUUAUUUCAGUCUCCGAUAGAACAGUUGCUGUACCUAACCAUGAUGCAUCCAGGUAGUGUGUCUAUAAGAUCUGGUGAGGGUCAAAGAAGGCAUACCAAAUAUGUUUUGGUUUCCUGAGAAAGUAGAGGCACUGCUGCACUGAUUACAUGGUUGGACCAUGACACGCUAUUAAUGAUGUCCAUUCCUAGACACUUGAAGUUCUCAGCUGUCUCAGUCUCAGCAGUGUGUGCAUUGUUCUCCCCCCACCACUUCCUGUAGUCUGACCAGCUGUUUCGUUUUGUUCUAUCCUUGAGACAAAGUCAUGACACCAUUCCACUGAACUAUCACUUUCCUGUACUCCAACUCAUCAUUGUUUGAGAUGUGGCCCAUGACAAUGAUGUCACCUGCAAACAUGCAUGGAGUUAGAGCAGGAUCUGGCUACACAGUCGUGAGUGAAUGGGGAGUAGAGUUGGGUUGAGGAUGCAGCCAUGUGGGCACCGGUUUUGAGAAUCAAGGUGGAAGAAUCAGAAUCAGGUCUAUUAUCACCGGCAUGUGUCGUGAAAUUUGUUAACUUAGCAGCAGCAGUUCAAUGCAAUACAUAAUAUACAAGCAGGGUAGAAGGAAAAAAAGUAAAUCAAUUAUGGUAUAUUUAUAUCGAAUAGAUUAAAAAAUCAUGCAAAAAUAGGAAUAAUAUAUAUUUUUUAAAAAAUGAAGUAGUGUUCAUAGGUUCAAUGUCCAUUUAGGAAUCGGAUUCCUGAAUCGCUGAGUGUGUGCCUUCAGGCUUCUGUACCUACUACGUGAUGGUAACAGUGAGAAAAGGACAUGUCCUGGGUGCUGAGGACACUGGACACUGCCUUUCUGAGACACCUAUUCUAUUGAUUGUGAUUCGUUAGUCAGGAAGUCAAGGAUCCAGUUGCAAAGGGAGGUGUUGAGUCCCUUGUUGAGUUGUUUGAAGUAGAGUUGGUUUGGAAUUAGUAUUGAAGACAGAGCUGUGGUCAAUAAAUAGUCUCUGACUAAUAGUUCAGUGUUUGUUUUGAAUUACAAUAAUGUUGAAGUCAAGAAUCAGACUGAAGUGAUGUGACUAAUAGAUCCUGUGAGAGACAAGUAUCUGUUCUCCCUUUGCUUUGUAUUCUGUGUUGUGUGUUUAUAACGAUAACUAGACAUAUGAGUGAGGACAUGGUAAAAGCAAAGUGAGUAAGUUAUGUAUUCAAAGAUUCAAGAUUCAAAGUACAUUUAUUAUCCAAGAAUGUAUAAAUUAUACAACCUUGAGAUUUGUUUGCUCACAGGUAACCAUAAAACAAGAAACGCAAAAGAAACCAAUUAAAGCAAAAAGUGUAAAAAUAAAAGACCAACACCCGAUAAGCAAGAAGAAAAAAACACUGUGCAAAGUAUUGAAGCGAACAACAACAAUCGAACCAAAAUUGAGUUCUUAGAUCCGAACCCAGGAGUAGGCUAAAAACCUCACCUAUCAGUUUAUCAUAUCAGCAGGUAUGGAGCAUAACAGCCAGGCAGUUUUCAUAGCCUCAGCGUUGCAGAGAGAGAGGAGAGACCAUCGUGGAGAACAAGCGAGAUCGGUGCCCAGAGCAAUCCAACCUCACACCCAGGUUAGUUGUACGGACACUGAAUCUCCUCUGCCCAGGAUCGGACUUCUCUUGGUGCCCAGAGCAAUCCAACCUCACAUCCAGGCCAAUUGUGUGGGCAUUGGGACUCCAUCUGCAAUGAUUCUACUGCACGCCUUCUCAGCUCAUCCCCUGAACUUGCCUCGCCAUCGCUUGCCUUUGCACUGUUUGUGGUGAUAAUUAAACACAGUUUACCUCAAAAAAGGUAUUUUUAGUGCUGUUUUUAGCCAGAUUUCUCAACUGUUUGACUACCAGAAAGCUGUCGCACGCAUUUGGUAACACCAUCUUAACCGGAAGCUUAUUUCGUGGUAGUUUGUAGCAGAGGCCAGUGGGGGGGGGGGGGGGGUGGGUCAUAUCUUUGACCGCUGGGUUACGCUCAAUAGUGCUUAAUUGUAUGUUUGCUAAUUGCUAAUACAGGAUCAAAUGAAAUUUGUGACUUUUGGAGCAAUAAUUGGAACUGUGGGCAUGUCACUCAAGUAUAAUAAGUCUAUGGUUGCAGGCAGGUGGCAAUUGUUUCGUUUGAAUUUGAAUCAGUUUUGCUGCUACAGAUCUUAAUUGGUACUUUGUGUAAUUAAUGGGGAAAAGGUCCCAAGAAAAAAUAUUUUAAAGAAAUUACUUAACUAUGGCAUAAUCCAUGACAGAACUUCAAUAUUUGUUAAUGAAUGCAAGAAGGAAAUUAUUUGAAUGGACAAUGAAUUGUUUUAAAUAAUAACAGUUAACAAGAAUCUCUGAGAAGGACUGUUAAUCUGCACUAAUUUGUAUGUUAAUGUUGGAGUAAUUUAUUUCCAUUCCCCUUUUACUUAUUGUCAGUUAAAUCAUUUAUUUGCAAAAUCAAAUGUCGUCUUUCUUCUGUUACGCAUAUUUAAAUCAUAUUGCAUGUAAUUAGGAGUUGGAAUUUGACUUCAGUUCGCAUAAUUUGAAGUGAGGAACUACUGUGUCAAAAUUAUUGACAUCUAUAGUGUUUGCAGGUAGCCAAUGAAUAAAAUAACAAGAGUCCAAUUUAAAUUAAAAAAUAGAACAAGCAAGGUACCCUAACAUCAUUUCUACAUGAUUGUGUGAUUUUGUUUUUAAAGAUAUGGACAGUGGUUAUAACUUGUGAUCCUUAAGGCUAUAUUGAUCCAGGUAUAUAUUAUAUGGUAGAAGGUACAGUAAAGCUCCAGUAAUCUGGCAUCCUUGGAUUUCAGUCACAUUGGACCAGCAGAUAUGCUGUACUGCUGGAUGUUAUACUUACUCAUAUCCAAUUACACUCUUCAUAUUUUUUACAUGUUACAUAGUUGUAUAAUAAAUUUCCAAUGAACCUGGAGUUUAAAAGGAGUGGGAAAUUCACAAGCAUAGCAGACUCUGGUCUCCAGCUGCAAACCUACCCACAGUCUUGUGCACCGAUGUUUUGGAUCCCAACCCUGACUGCAGCUGCAUGCUCAGUUUACAGUCCAGACCCUGAUAGGAACGGCAUAUUGGACCUCCAACUCUGAUUGCAUACUCUGGACUCCCCUUCACUCUGAGUGAGCCAGCUGCUGGACUGUGAGGAUUUUCAUACAAUUGAAUGCCAGAUUAUCAGGGUUUUACUUUCCACAUAUUACAUUCUCAAUUUAUAUAUUCCAUAUUUAACUAAUGUACUUCCUGUCAAAUGAGGUCACGGAAUAUAUUCUAAGAAUCAAAUCUUCUGUAAUUGUUGAAAAUAAAAAUAUAUAUGGCACUUUGUUUUA
RNA transcript from Mobula hypostoma (lesser devil ray), 5595 nucleotides. It is a transcript of the gene named eukaryotic translation initiation factor 4h, with no coding region annotated. The transcript is spliced from 3 exons. The record is from RefSeq and is a predicted model, not a curated record. NCBI's taxonomy places the organism in Eukaryota, Metazoa, Chordata, Chondrichthyes, Myliobatiformes, Myliobatidae.